Molecule: ribosomal RNA, 463 nt
Filed under: uncultured bacterium
Lineage: Bacteria
Description: partial 16S ribosomal RNA
Rfam family: Bacterial small subunit ribosomal RNA
Source: RNAcentral
GACGAACGCUGGCGGCGUGCUUAACACAUGCAAGUCGAACGGAAAGGCCCUGCUUUUGUGGGGUGCUCGAGUGGCGAACGGGUGAGUAACACGUGAGUAACCUGCCCUUGACUUUGGGAUAACUUCAUGAAACUGGGGCUAAUACCGGAUAGGAGCUCCUGCUGCAUGGUGGGGGUUGGAAAGUUUCGGCGGUUGGGGAUGGACUCGCGGCUUAUCAGCUGGUUGGGAGGGUAGUGGCCUACCAAGGCGUUGACGGGUAGCCGGCCUGAGAGGGUGACCGGCCACCGUGGGACUGAGACACGGCCCAGACUCCUACGGGAGGCAGCAGUGGGGAAUAUUGGACAAUGGGCGAAAGCCUGAUCCAGCAAUGCCGCGGGAGUGAGGAAGGCCUUAGGGUUGUAAAGCUCUUGUACACGGGAUGAUAAUGACAGUACCGGGAGAAUAAGCUACGGAUAACUCCGUG